Molecule: ribosomal RNA, 396 nt
Filed under: uncultured bacterium
Lineage: Bacteria
Description: bacterial SSU rRNA
Rfam family: Bacterial small subunit ribosomal RNA
Source: RNAcentral
AUUGAACGCUGGCGGCAUGCCUUACACAUGCAAGUCGAACGGCAGCGCGGGGCAACCUGGCGGCGAGUGGCGAACGGGUGAGUAACAUAUCGGAACAUACCCUAGAGUGGGGGAUAACGUAGCGAAAGUUACGCUAAUACCGCAUACGCACUAAGGUGGAAAGUGGGGGAUUCGCAAGAACCUCAUGCUCAUGGAGUGGCCGAUAUCUGAUUAGCUAGUUGGUGAGGUAAAGGCUCACCAAGGCGACGAUCAGUAGCUGGUUUGAGAGAACGACCAGCCACACUGGAACUGAGACACGGUCCAGACUCCUACGGAGGCAGCAGUGGGGAAUUUUGGACAAUGGGGGCAACCCUGAUCCAGCAAUGCCGCGUGAGUGAAGAAGGCCUCGGUUGUAAG